GACGAACGCUGGCGGCGUGCUUAACACAUGCAAGUCGAACGGUAAGGCCCUUCGGGGUACACGAGUGGCGAACGGGUGAGUAACACGUGGGUGAUCUGCCCUGCACUUCGGGAUAAGCCUGGGAAACUGGGUCUAAUACCGGAUAGGACCACUGCCUGCAUGGGUGGUGGUGGAAAGCUUUUGCGGUGUGGGAUGGGCCCGCGGCCUAUCAGCUUGUUGGUGGGGUGAUGGCCUACCAAGGCGACGACGGGUAGCCGGCCUGAGAGGGUGACCGGCCACACUGGGACUGAGAUACGGCUCAGACUCCUACGGGAGGCAGCAGUGGGGAAUAUCGCACAAUGGGCGCAAGCCUGAUGCAGCGACGCCGCGUGAGGGAUGACGGCCUUCGGGUUGUAAACCUCCUUCAGCAUCGACGAAGCGAAAGUGACGGUAGGUGCAGAAGAAGGACCGGCCAACUACGUGCCAGCCGCCGCAGUAA
Molecule: ribosomal RNA, 478 nt
Filed under: uncultured bacterium
Lineage: Bacteria
Description: partial 16S ribosomal RNA
Rfam family: Bacterial small subunit ribosomal RNA
Source: RNAcentral